UCCUAUAUGAUGCCUUUCCUC
Molecule: microRNA, 21 nt
Filed under: Cavia porcellus (domestic guinea pig)
Lineage: Eukaryota; Metazoa; Chordata; Mammalia; Rodentia; Caviidae
Description: cpo-miR-337-3p
Gene: cpo-miR-337-3p
Source: miRBase by way of RNAcentral